Molecule: ribosomal RNA, 253 nt
Filed under: uncultured bacterium
Lineage: Bacteria
Description: partial 16S ribosomal RNA
Rfam family: Bacterial small subunit ribosomal RNA
Source: RNAcentral
UACGGGGGGGGCAAGCGUUGUUCGGAAUUACUGGGCGUAAAGGGUUCGUGGGUGGCCUGCUAAGUCACACGUGAAAUCCCUCAGCUUAACUGGGGAACUGCGUGUGAUACUGGCGAGCUUGAGUGCAGGAGAGGAACGCGGAAUUCCAGGUGUAGCGGUGAAAUGCGUAGAUAUCUGGAGGAACACCGGUGGCGAAGGCGGCGUUCUGGACUGCAACUGACACUGAUGAACGAAAGCCAGGGGAGCAAACGGG